Non-coding RNA from Lepisosteus oculatus (spotted gar), 3738 nucleotides. NCBI's taxonomy places the organism in Eukaryota, Metazoa, Chordata, Actinopteri, Semionotiformes, Lepisosteidae. The record is from RefSeq and is a predicted model, not a curated record.
UGGGAGUUUUGAACCGUUUGGAGCCGUGAGGAGCUGAAAAUCUGUGCGGCUGUCAAAGUUCUUGCAAGUGAUAUUGAGUUGUCUUUUUUUAUUUACACUCCUCGCCGGGUUCAGUGAAAUUCACUAAGAGUUUGUCAGAGGGACAGGCCGUAAUGAGUAGCCAAGAGGACACGUGGGAGAAACUGGACUCGGAAUUUGAUCACUACUUGGUGGACAUGAAGCCUUAUGUCCUGAAACUACCUCACACAUCAGAGCGACAGCGCUGCGCUCUGUGGAUCAAGAAGCUGUGCGACCCGUCCGGUUCCGGCGCCGGCAUCAUGGGCCGGAAGAAUCGCAACUUGUACGCCCGGCUGUUGCUGCACAUGCUGCGGAGGGGAGUCCUGGAGGGGCCGUUCACCCACAGACCAGAGCCCGGGAGCCUGAAGACACUGCCCACGUACAUGUCGAUCUAUUUUGAUGAGCCGCUGUGUGGGAGGCCGCUGGAGCAGGGAUCUGUGAGACUUCCUGACUGGGUGACUGGGGAGCUGGGCCCCAACGAAGAACCGUGGUCCUCGCCCCCCCGGGAAAGACUUCUGUCUCCUGCAUCUGCCCCACGUGCGCACAGGAGAAGACACACGGACAGUGAAAAGUUAACAUCGCAAGCCCGCUCCAGCGUUGUGACGGGAAGAUCAGACGAAGAAAACCAUGUGGCUUUUCAAACCGACGAUCGACACAGGAAGCCUGUGACCUCUUCCGAUGACAGUGACCUUGAAGCACGUCUGAACAGCUGGAAUCUUGGGAUUGAAAACCCCAGGUAUUUGCGAGAGAAACCUAUACCUCUGUCUCCGAUUUCCCUCAAAGCAAGCCUGGGAAAAAAUAGCACCUUCUGUGAUGACCAGACAUCGGUUCACACACAUGAAAAAGAGCUUGAAAUGAAGACAAAAGUACUGGAGGCCAGAUGCCACGAGGAGAAGCUGAAGAUGCAACAAAAGCAUGAUGCUGAUGUUCAGAAGAUUUUGGACAGAAAGAACAAUGAGAUCGAAGAGCUGAAGACUUUGUACAGGAACAAGCAGAAGGAAUCUGAAGAAACCAUUCGCAAGCUAGAGAAAAAAGUUCAAAGCCUGGUACGAGAGUCGCAGGUUAUCCGGGAGAGCAAGGAACAGCAGAUUGCAGAGUUAAAGAAAAUUUCAGACCAAAGUGCCGAUUCUCUGAAAAAUGAGUGGGAAAAAAAGUUGCACAACGCGGUGGCAGAGAUGGAACAGGAGAAGUUUGAGCUGCAGAAGAAGCACACGGAAAACAUCCAGGAGCUGCUGGAUGACACCAACGCCCGUCUUGCCAAGAUGGAGGCCGAGUAUGGCGCGCAGACGCAGGCCACGGACCAGAUGGUCAAAGAGCAGGAGGCACGGGUCCAGCAGCUCACGGUGGAGGUUGAAAGCAGCAACGCGCUGCGGCAGAAGGUGGCCCAGGAGAAGGCUGAGCUGGAGAUCCAGGUGGCAGGCAUCAGCGCUGAGCUCCAGGAGGCCUGCCGCAGGAAUAAUUCCCUCCUGAGAGAGAAGGAUCAGCUCAGUGAGCAGCAUGAACAGAGUGUUCGGAGGAUGCAAACCAAGCGUGACGCGGACCUCAGCCACCUCCAGCAGGAACAUGCUCUCUCGGCAGCCAAGGCCUCAGAGGUGAUUGAAGAGUUGGAGAAGACGGUAACCCAGCUUAAACAAGAGCUUCGCGACACUGAACACAGGAGGCAGAAACAGCUGAGGGAACAAGAAAGCAAGUUUCAUCAAGAGAGAUCAAACUUGGAACAUAUCCACGACAAAAAGGUCCGCGCCUUGCAGAGCGAGGCGGACAGAGACAAGGCCGACGCCACGAAGAAGAUGGGCAAACUGGAGGAGGCCCUCAGGGAGAAGGAGGAGCAGCUGGGGCGGCUGGCGGGGCAGCAGAAGCUGCAGGCCCAGCAGGCGGAGCAGGCCCUGGAGCAGUUCAGGAGGCAGGUGGAGCUCAGCUCAGAGAAGGCCUACUCUGACAUGAAGCAGCAGAUGGAGAAAGUCGAGGCAGAUCUGGCAAGAUCAAAAUGUCUCCGUGAGAAGCAAUCUAAAGAGUUCACCUGGCAACUUGAGGAACUCAAGCAGAGAUAUGAGCAACAGAUCGUGGAGCUAAAACUGGAGCACGAGCAGGAGAAGACGCACCUAUUCCAGCAGCACAAUGCCGAGAAGGACAGCCUGGUCCAGGAUCACGAACGGGAAAUCGAGAAUUUGGAGAAACAGUCGCGGGCCGCUAUGCUACAACACGAGAGCCAGACCCAGGAGUGGAGGAAACGGGACACUCAGGCCGCGGCGGCGCUGGAGGCCCAGGUGCAGCAGCUGCGGGAGGAGCUCGUGCGGGCCGGCGCCCAGCGGAAGCAGCAGCUGCUGGAGCUGAGCCUGCAGCGCGAGGAGGAGCGGCAGAGGGCCGCGCAGGAGCAGGAGGCGGCGCUGGGCCGGCUGCGGGCCGAGACGGACAGGGCGCGGCUGGACCUGGAGAGGGCGCACGCUGCCGAGAGGCAGGCCGGCCUGGAGCAGACCAACAGCAGGUUGAAGCAGAUUGAGAAGGAAUACAGCCAGAAGCUUGCCAAAUCUUCACAGACCAUCACAGAGCUGCAGACCAGCCUGAGCACCGCGAGAGAGGAGAGCCGGCAGCGCCAGCGGGCAGCGGAGAGCCAGCUCCAGGAGACAGCCGCGCGCUGGGAGGAGGAGAGGAGGCAGCUGCUCCGCGAUCACGAGAGAGAAAUCCGGGCCCUUCAGGAUAAGAUAGAGAAUCUCCAGAGCUUGUUGAACUCUUCGGAGAAGAAGCUUCUGAACAAAGAGCUGGAGCAUCAGGAGCAGGUCACCCGUGUCCGGCAGGAGUGCGAGAUGAAGAUCAAGGGACUGAUGCCCGCGGCUCUAAGGCAGGAGCUGGAGGACACCAUCGCCUCCUUAAAAUCUCAGGUGAACUUCCUCCAGAAGCGCGCCGUUGUCCUUCAGGAGGACCUGGACGCCUGCCGCAGCAGGAGGUAACUGCUGCAUUCGGACAGCCCCCUCGUCCUCGUCCACACCUGGUCCUGUUCAGUCCGGAGAUGCAGAGAUCACCUGCAGAUAUUAGCACAGGACUCUUCUGCAGAAUUCCUUCAAAAAUCCAUUUCUGUGCUUCUGGAAUGGUCUCCUCGGGCCCCGGUUUCAGGCGAUGCCAGUGGAAGGGAAAGGGCCGACGGUGACAGUCUCGGGUUCAUGGGGUUCGGUAGCACAGCGCUCGAACCCGCUGAGCCACCCGGGCCCCACCCCGACUCGCGCUGGAGAGCACCUGGCAAGAGAUCGCCUGGCUCGGGCCCCAGCUGCACCUUCAUGCGCCUUCGAGCAACAUCCCACCCAGCGCUCAGGCUGCGUUCGGCUCCCCGUGGGACACGUGGGGUGGGAGUGUGACAGCGUACUUUCAUUUCCAUCUGCAGCUAGUCUUGGCCCAUCAAAAGGAAAGAGAGGCAAACAUGAACUAGUUCUCAGGAUAUAGAAGACAACAGCCACAAUCAGGGGAAUCGCUGAGGCUGGCUAGCAAGCAGGCACUGGUUGUUGACUGCGUACCGCUCAUUGGUUUUUACAGCAAGCUUGAGUGAUUGUGGACAAAGCCUAGAUCUGAUUGCAGCAACUGUUCACUCAGAGUGGAUCAAGCAGGAUCACUCGUCCAUCAGCAGGACCGGCUGCUGUUGCUGUUGCUAAUAUAUGAGAGAGAAUAAAAGCUUUUUUGUGUUUUUUUCAC